AACUAACGCUAGCGGCGUGCCUAACACAUGCAAGUCGUACGAGAAAGUUGGCUUCGGCCGAUGAGUAAAGUGGCGCACGGGUGAGUAACGCGUGGAUAAUCUACCUCGUUCUGGGGGAUAACCCAUCGAAAGGUGGGCUAAUACCGCAUAAUCCGGCUGAAUUUCGGUUUGGCCGGCAAAGGUGGCCUCUUGAUCAAAGCUACCGGAAAGAGAUGAGUCCGCGUCCCAUUAGCUUGUUGGUAGGGUAACGGCCUACCAAGGCGACGAUGGGUAGCUGGUCUGAGAGGACGAUCAGCCACACUGGAACUGGUACACGGUCCAGACUCCUACGGGAGGCAG
This 339-nucleotide ribosomal RNA is filed under the name uncultured Pseudomonadota bacterium. RNAcentral's name for it is "bacterial SSU rRNA". It matches the Rfam family "Bacterial small subunit ribosomal RNA", at positions 29 to 351 of the family's 1533-position model. The record is from RNAcentral. Lineage: Bacteria; Pseudomonadati; Pseudomonadota.